AGCGAACGCUGGCGGCAUGCUUAACACAUGCAAGUCGCACGGCGGGGGCAACUCCGUCAGUGGCGGACGGGUGAGUAACGCGUAGGAAUCUAUCCUUGAAUGGGGGACAACCGUGGGAAACUACGGCUAAUACCGCAUGAUGCCUGAGGGCCAAAGACGAAAGUCGUUUGAGGAGGAGCCUGCGUCUGAUUAGCUUGUUGGUGGGGUAAAGGCCUACCCAAGGCGACGAUCAGUAGCUGGUCUGAGAGGAUGAUCAGCCACAUUGGGACUGAGACACGGCCCAAACUCCUACGGGAGGCAGCAGUGGGGAAUAUUGGACAAUGGGCGCAAGCCUGAUCCAGCAAUGCCGCGUGGGUGAAGAAGGUCUUCGGAUUGUAAAGCCCUUUUGGCGGGGACGAUGAUGACGGUACCCGCAGAAUAAGCUCCGGCUAACUUCGUG
RNAcentral lists this ribosomal RNA (439 nucleotides) under uncultured bacterium. RNAcentral describes it as "bacterial SSU rRNA". It matches the Rfam family "Bacterial small subunit ribosomal RNA", at positions 29 to 507 of the family's 1533-position model. The record is from RNAcentral.